AACAUCCCUAAUGCGCCUUGAAAUGAGGAACUCAAAAGUCACGUGUAAAGAAAAAAUCUCUGUGUAGUGAUAUUGGACAUGUUUCUAUUUUUAACAAAUGACUGAACUUAAUUAUUUGUGGUGAUUAGGAAAGUAGAGGAACAUAGAAUAAAUGUGUAAAAACUAUGGAGCUAUUGAAUGUGUUCAAAGUAUUAAAUUUUCAAAGAACUUAUUGUGUUAAAAAGGGGAUAUUUUACCACAAGGAGCCGCAUCACAAAAGGAUGUUCGGGGUUUGCUAAUUUACGGAAAAAGUAAUCUCACUUCGUACCCCGAAAAUUUAACCACAUAUGUGAAAAUGUCACAGCUUCGAAACGAGCUAUCAUACAUAUCCAAGUUUACGAUAUGGACUGAGCUACAGGGAAAAACGUUACCAUUACCGCCUAUGGAAAAACAAUUAAAGAUAUUGAGCCAAUUUACAAAAGAUAAAUCAGAAGUUUCCAGAGUUAUCUAUGGAUGAUUUCACCUUGUACACCCGGGAAAAUUGUGAAAAUGAUGUUCCAGACAUAUCAUUACUUUUUAACCUGAGAUGACAAACUAGAGGUUUUAAAAGGUCCUGAAUAACUGAAAUGGACAAAAAUACACAGAUUUAUUCAGAAUGUCAUACCGAUGAAGAUCACAUAAACAUAUUUGGAAAAAUCAGAACUAUGGAUUGCAAUAUGGGACAACAUCCCUAAUGCGCCUUGAAAUGAG
Long non-coding RNA from Mytilus trossulus (common blue mussel), 729 nucleotides. RefSeq lists it as uncharacterized. The transcript is spliced from 3 exons. The record is from RefSeq and is a predicted model, not a curated record. NCBI's taxonomy places the organism in Eukaryota, Metazoa, Mollusca, Bivalvia, Mytilida, Mytilidae.